AAAAAAAUGUUCUCCAUUAAGGCGCAACUCUUGCACUAAAAGGUGAUACUCACCGAGACUUUUUCUCCGAGUCAGGUGGUGUUUUAUACACACUGAUUUGCAAUGUUUUCUUUGCGUCUCCAGUAAAAGAGAGUAAAAGCAAGAGCCUGUAUUCUCCCUCCAUUUAUCAUGGUGAAUGAAGGAAUUAAUUAACGAAGGAGUAAAUACAAACAAUCAACACAACAAUAAAUCCAGAAAGACCGUGAAUAAUUUUUGAGGAAACAUGGACACAACAUUAAAAAUAAUACAAUAUAAAUAUUAAUAAUUUAUUACUUUUUUUUAUCAAUAACAAUGUAUUUAAAACAAAAAGAUUGUUUUUGGUAAAGUUUAAAAAUUACUAAAGUUAAUAUUAAUACUUUUCAAUAAUUCUUAUCAUCUCGCGCACACGAACCUGAUAGGACAACAUUAGAAUACAUCACAUCCGGUCGGCAUAUCGGAUGCGGUGUAGUCGCACAAGUUACAUUUUUUUAACGGAUCCAACGCUCAAAUCGGAUCCGAAAAUUACGGAUCCGCAAAUUACGGAUCCGCAGGUGGUCGGUACCUCACGCAGCGACCUUGCAACUCUCCAUAGGAAAUGAAUGAUUUCCGGUUUAUCUGCGGUCGUUUGUCGUGUGCAGUGUGAAGGCGGCUUAUGGCUUUUGUUGCUGCGUUGCAUUAACAGACAGCCUGUGAGGACAACACUCCCCUAUUCUGGUUUCACCAAAGGGCUCCACACUUGUAGACUGAAUGUGCUACACAACCAAGAUUGCACCAAGCACAUUCUCAGUCCAAUACUGUAACUGUAACAUCGGCCAUCCAUUCAUCCGACCUCAAGAGGGCGCCAUCGCCCAAGUAUUGACUUUGCUCUUCCUCUCUCUACUUCCUGUAGCCACCUGUUAAAAGCCAUCUGAAGUGUUUAACGUUGCGAAGUAUUGCCAGCUUACCACUGUCCUUACCGAGUGUUUUCCCACAUUCUGUCUUGUAUGCCACGUGCAUGUUUUAUUGCCUGUUCUUCACCUUGUUAUUUGGAUUAUGAUUUGGAAUUGUUUGCUCUACGGAAAACCUACCUGUUAUUGAACCACUGCCUGUUUAUCUGACCACGAUUCUCAGCCUACCCCUUUCUUAAUAAAUCUCUGCAUAUGGAUUCUAA
Long non-coding RNA from Tachysurus vachellii, 1168 nucleotides. RefSeq lists it as uncharacterized. The record is from RefSeq and is a predicted model, not a curated record. The transcript is spliced from 2 exons. NCBI's taxonomy places the organism in Eukaryota, Metazoa, Chordata, Actinopteri, Siluriformes, Bagridae.